RNAcentral lists this long non-coding RNA (6310 nucleotides) under Sus scrofa (pig). RNAcentral's name for it is "lncRNA (ENSSSCG00045017602.1)". The record is from RNAcentral. Lineage: Eukaryota; Metazoa; Chordata; Mammalia; Artiodactyla; Suidae.
GGGCCAUGUGUAUGUAUGACUGAGUCCUUUUGCUGUACAGCAGAAACUGGCACAACGUUGUAAAUCAAUUACACGUUAAUUAAAAAAAUAUAUAUGGGCCAGAUUUGGCCUGUGGUCCAAAUUAGCUCAUAACCCCUAGAGGAUAGGGUACCAUGAGAGAUGAGGCUUAGGAGGGUGGCCUGGUUUGGGGAUCUCUAGAGACUAUGUUAAAAGGCCUGACCUUGGCCCCAUGAAUAAGGGGGUGUGUCUCCUUCUCAUAUGCUUUUUUUUUUUUUUAAAGGACUGCACAGCUGUAGCUCCAAUUCAACCUCUAGCCUGGGAACCUCCGUAUGCCGCAGACGCAGCCCCAAAAAGACACACACACACACACACACACACACACACACACACACACACACACACACACACACAGGAAUGGAACAGGAACACCAGAAGGAGAGCAGGGCAGAAGCUGCAGUAGGCCUGCUUGUCUCUGAGUCUGGAUGCAGGCAGAAGUGGCUAGAAAUCUGGGAUAACAGAUUUACGCAUAACUCCAGCUAUGGAGUGCUGGAUACAAAGCCUGGAGUUAGAGCUGAUACACUGCUGGAACCCAGGGGCUGGGAAAGUAGUCUGAAAACAGUUGCUGUAACCCAUUCCCUGGGGCUGGGGCUUAUUACAAAGAUGCUUACCUAGGGAGACAGGGCCUGGAGCUAAGCUAAGUUGCUACUGUGAGAUUUGAUUCUAGACCAGGAGACCCAGAGGACCUGGGGAGGCAAAGGAGAAAAUCCCCAGAUGAAGAAGGGAUGAGCUUAUAUACUCAGAAAUAUGAGGGAAACUAAUAUGAAAGAAGAACAAAAUCAGAGGAAAAUUUAUCCCCAAAGAAAUGAAAAUAACAGAGUAGUCAGAAAAUACAUUUAGUAGAAAUAGGUUAAGGAUCCUUGAGGCUAUUAGCGAAACAAGAAAUUUGUUAAAGAAAGGUAAAUUAUAAAAGAAACAAGAAUAUGUAAACAUGAAAACUUUACAUUAAAAAUUGUAGGAGUUCCCAUUGUGGCUCAGCAGGUUAAGGACCUGACGUAGUCUCUGUGAGGAUGCAAGUUUGAUUCCCCAGCCCUGCACAGUGAGUUAAGGAUCUAGCAUUGCUGCAGCUGUGGUGUAGGUCACAGCUCUGGCUCGGAUUCAGUCCCUGGCCCUGGAACUUCCAUAUGCUGUGAGUGCAGCUGGAAAAGAAAAAAAAAAGAAUGAGGUGAAAUAAAGAUAUUUCUGUACCUGCUAAGACAGUUUUAUUACCUACACGUCCUUGCUAGAAGAACUACUAAAGGUUUGUAUUUCAAUAAGGAGAAAACUUGGGGAGAGGAGCAGAUUGCUAGCAGCAAAACCAAGUGCAGAAAUUGAUGUGCGUUGGUAAAUUAACUGUAGACAGUGUAUCAGGAUGCUCACGUCACCCACAGGGACUUAAACUCCAGAAGAUAUUUAACUAGCUUGUAAUGAGAAGUUGGAGGGAGGGAGUUCCAAGUUUGGAGCAUUAGUCCAGUACUGACUUGAGGAACCCUAGGUCAUUCCAUUGUUCUUCUCUGCUGUCAUAAGGGUAUAAGAGCUCUCUCCUCAUGGUUGUAAGAUGGCUGCUGCAGCUCCAGGUAUUAUAUCACCUUAGAGCAUCCUAAGCAGGAAGGGUAGGAAAUGCUAAGAGAAAGGAAGCUUUCUAAUGUGCCUCUUUUCUAAGAAGGAGAAUCUUUCCAGGGAAGCCCCAGCAGACAUCUCAUGCUUCAUUGACCUGAGCUGGUUCAUCCUUAGACCAAUUCCUGGUAAAAUGGAACAGGCUUAUCUUAUCUCCUGGGACUGGGUUCUUUGCUGCCUGAACAAAAUCAGGAUUCUUUUGGCAAGAAAAAAGGGGGAAUGGCUGCUAGUAGGCAACCAACAGUGUCGGCCACAGAUGGCAAAACGCACUGAACAGAAACCCAGAAUCUAGUUUGUUUUAGUUUUAAAAUAGGAAAACUAAAAUCGUUGGCCACAUUAUCAAGGAAGAAUCAGGUAGAAUAAGGAAGGGAAUUUCAUUGUUAAAUCACAUCACAUUUCUGCCUUGUUAAAGGGAAAUACCGCUGCUGAAAACUGUAGACCUCAUUAGGAAAAUAUGUAUCUGCUAACAAUUUAAGAUAACCACUUUAGUUAGUUAGAAGAAAGAAUUUCCAAUCCAGAAGGAAAAAUAUUGGGAGUGGGGGUAGUGUGUCAAUCCAACACAAGUUAGGAAAAGAAAAGAGAACUAAAGAAAAAUUAGUGGAGUUCCUGUUGUGGUAUAGCAGAAACAAAUCCGACUAGUAUCCAUGAGGAUGCAGGUUCACUCCCUGGCCUCACUCAGUGCGUCAGGGAUCCAGUGUUGUAGUGAGCUGUGGUAUAUAGGUCGCAGAUGCGGCUUGGAUCUUGGAUCCCACGUUGCUGUGGCUGGGGCGUAGGCUGGCAGCCAUAGCUCUGAUUUAAUCCCUAGCCUGGGAACCUCCAUGUUUCAUGGGUUCGGCCCUAAAUUUGAAAGAAAAGAAAAACUACCAGACUGAAUAAAAUGCAAAUAAGAAGUAAUCUGGAGAGACUGAUCAGUAGGAACCUAACAGGAACUGCCCUUGCUUUUCUCACACAGGUGGUUCUGUGUUUUUAGACAAUUUUCAGUUCCCUGCGCCAUCCACCCACCUCUCCUCAAAGUUGAGCUUUGACUUGCUUUUUUUUUUUUUUUUUUGCCCCCCCUGCAACAUGCAAAAGUUCCUGGGCCAGGGAUCAAACCUGCACCAAUACUGGAUCCUUAAACACUCUCCACCAGGGAACUCCUGCCUUGCUAAUGAGAUAGUAUUGUUUUCCUAGACUGCUUUAUUCCUGCUGUAGAUGUGUAUAGCAAAUUCCUGGACUUCCCCCUCCACCACCCCUACACACCAAGAAACCACACUGGGACUCUUAAGGGGCAGGUUUGGAGCAGAGCUGGGACCCCAUAUCCCAGCUGUCCCCCUUCCCCAUGCUUCACAACCCAGCUUUCCUCCCCUUAGAGCCUGUUCCUUUGGGGGCAGCAUCCAUCCUCUUGCGAUGGAGACUGAUGGUUUAUUUCUCUGGGACUUCCUUGAAAGUUACCAGAGUGAUGAUCAUAGGAUGGAAGAAAUGCGUAAGUUCUCACUUUCUGAUUUCCUGCCUGCUAACUCUGGGCAGCAUCAGAAGUACCAGAGCUGAGAUCACAGACUGGACAGCAUGUCAGAGUGAGUGUCCUGCAGGAAGGCAGGAGCGCCUGAAGCAGAGGCUGCUGGAGGGAUCGUAAUUGAUGAGCGUGGUAGACUGAGUCACUAGGGUAACAGUGAGGGGUUUAUGCCAGAGGCUGGCGCCAGCAGGUUGCAAUGUGAGGACUUCAGUUAGCCAAGCAUGUGGAAGUGAAGCAGCCAGUUUUCAGACACAUCAAGGACGUGCUUCUCUGGGCUUGAGUUGAGUAUAAGGGAGGGGCUGUCAGGUCUCUUCCUCCAGAUGAUGACAGGCACUCCAGGGCAUCUUCUGCCAGGGUUGGCUGUUGCCACACUCAGGAAGCAGGGCGUUUGCUGGGUUGUUAGGUUGGCAGGGUUCUGGGACACAGGGAACCUUCUGAUGGUUGUACUCCAGUUAGUGGAGAAAGCCUCUCUGGAUGGCAGUGAAUGCUUGUGGAAGGAGCACUGGCCUUGGAGCCAUCAGAUCUGGAAUGUAUUAACGCUCCGUCGCUUAUCGCCUGGCUGACCUCGUUUUGCUGUCUUGGGACUUCUGCGAAUACUGAAUGAGAGGCUAUGCCUGCAAAUGCUCAGAAACUCAUAAAGCAUCAUGCAGUGUGCGUACUAAUCUGUGGUUUGAUGCCUUUACACUGAGGCUCUGGGACACAUCCUCAGGCUGUGUGUCAGUGGGUGGAAAGAGGGUGCUUUAUCAGUGUCUCGGGCCAGGAUUUUUUUCUUUCUCCCCACCCCUUCCAAUUCAAGCAGCCUCCCUCCCUCCAUCCUCCGUGCCUUAUUUUGACAUUUCUUUUCUCUGCCUGCCAAGAAGAUUGUGUUCAGCUGUGCUGGUCUGAGGCUGUGCUAUCCUGUGCUUCGUUAGGUUAAUUCGAUGGCUUGUCUUCUGGGAACUGACUGGGGACUAGCUCUAAAACCCUGCUAGCCUCUAAAACCCAAUCCCCACUGUUUUCCUUGGGGCAAGCUUUGCCGCUGAAUCCCACACACCUUCGUUUUCUCUCCUCCACGCAGGAGCCGGCAAGGGCCUGCUUUGGCCCCACCUUGGUUCCUUGUAUUGGCAAAAUUGCUCAAGCAUGCAUCCUCUGAUUGGUAGAAGGCUCUAAGGGAGACCAUCAAAGCUGCCCCUGACCUUCUGGAUUCUGGUUGCUAGUUUCUCUGUUCAGCCUCAGCAUCUUAAACUUGACCAGCCAUUCAGGGGAUAUUUGUUGUUAAAUGGUCUCACCAUAUUUGCUAAAUUUGUGACCACAAACCUCUUGGAAGACCCUAGCAUUGCCUACCACUAAAUUUCCCUCAUUACUCCCCUUCUCUCUUAGAGGACCAUUCACUCCUGUUUUCUGUAAUCCUCCAGCCCCAGCAUCAAAGGUGUGUCACUCCCUGUGCCCAUGCUUUGCUUCACCUCCUGCUAUACAGGUCGACCUCCAUGUGGGCACUGCCUCUCCCUACCUCUUGCUCUGUUCUUGCUACUUAAGGACUUGCUUCGUAAUUAUCCUCUUUUUUUUUUUUUUUUUUUUUUUUCUACAGCAUUAACCUCUCCCUCUUCUGAACCAUCCCCACCAGCAUUCUGUAAUAUUUCCCAUUCCACUUUAUCUCAUUCCCCUUUUUUGGUAACACCUUUAUUGAGAUAGAAUUCAUGUUCCAUGCUCUUCAUCUAUUUCAGUUGUACAAGUCAGUUGGUUUUAGUUUAGUCACAUGGUUAUGCAAUCCUAGACCACAAACAAUCUUAGAACAUUUCAUCACCCCAGGAGGAAACUCCAUACCCAUUACCAGUCACUCCCCAUCUCUUCCAACCCCUAGCCCUGAGCAAUUACUAAUCUACUUUAUGGAUGUGUCUAUUCUGGACAUUUCAUAUAAAUGGAAUCACAUCAUGUGUAGUCUUUUGUGUCAGGCUUCUUUCACUUAGCAUCAUGUUUUCAAGGUUCAUCCAUGUAUCAGUGCUUCAUUUCUUUUUAUGGCUGAAUAAGAUUCCAUUGUAUGGAUAUUAGAUGUUUUGCUUACUCAUCAGUUGAUGGGACUUGGAGUUCUUUCCACUUUGGAGCUAAUAUGAAUAAAGCUUCUAUCAUUUGUGUAUGUAUUUUUGUGCGGAUAUAUAUUUCUCUUGGGUGUAGACCUAGGAUUAAAAUUGCUGAGUCAUAUGUUAACUCUGUUUAAUCUUCUGUCUGCCAGACUGUUUUCCAAAGUGGCUGCGCCAUUUUUCAUUCUCACCAGCAAUGUAUGAGGGUUACAAUUUCUCCAUCUCUUCCUUAAUACCUGUUAUUAUCUGUCUUUUUGAUUAUAGCCAUCCUUGUAGGUGGGAAGUGGUAUCUGAUUGUGGUUUUGAUGUGUAUUUCCCUGAUAGCAAAUGAUGCUGAGCAUCUUUUCAUCUGCUUGUUGGCCAUUUCUCAUCCAGUCAGAUGUUUGCCCCUUCCAUACUUUUGGAUCAGCCACUGUGAAGGUCACUGCUGACAGCCUUCUCUUAUCUAUGUCAGACCUUCCCUCGAUAAUUUCUUCUGGUCCUGUAGUUUUAAAAGGGAACUGUACUCAGGUGACUCUCAAAUGUAUCCCUCCAGCUCUGACCUCUUCCAUGAGCCUUAGACAUCUGUGUCCUGCUGCCUGUUGCCAUUUCCACAUGGACUGUUAAAGGGCAUCUCAAAUUGAACCUGUCAUCAACAGAACUCUUGCUUUUUUUUACUCCUGAAAACCCAUUUCUCUCCUGACUUUUCUGCAUGAAUGAAUGGCAUCCCACCACCAGGUUGCUCAGGCCACAAGCUGAGUCCUGAUUUGGUCUUCCCUGCCCACCCACCACCCUCCAUCUAGCCCAUCCGUUAAGCCCUUCACAAUACAUCCAGCUACUUCUCACCACCUCCGCUGCCUGGGUUUUUGAAGUAGCUCCUCUCUGGUCCCCGGCUCAUCUUACACAGCAGCCAGAGAAGUUCCUUAGCAAAAAAAUAUUUUAACCUAAAAACUAAAACAAAUUAGACUUUAUUGUGAAAUGCAUCACACAUUCAGAAUAGUAUAUAUCGGAGUUCCCGUCGUGGCGCAGUGGUUAACGAAUCCGACUAGGAACCAUGAGGUUGCGGGUUCGGUCCCUGCCCUUGCUCAGUGGGUUAACGAUCCGGCGUUGCCGUGAGCUGUGGUGUAGG